RNAcentral lists this ribosomal RNA (4962 nucleotides) under Triticum aestivum (bread wheat). RNAcentral describes it as "partial small subunit ribosomal RNA". Lineage: Eukaryota; Viridiplantae; Streptophyta; Magnoliopsida; Poales; Poaceae. The record is from RNAcentral.
GGUGAGCUACUCUAAGUGUGCAGGUGUGCGUGUGGGUGCGAGUGUGAGGGUCCGCGCCCUCACUUCUGCUUCUCUCUCCCUUCUGCUGCGCCCGUGACUGUGGCUGCGGGCGCGGGUAAAGGGACGAGGCGAAGGCAGGGUAGGGAGGGAGGUGGUGGCGGUGGUGGCGGGUGAGGAUCCGGGCGAAGGGCAAGGCGAACGAGGCGGCAGCUGACGCCGGCUCGCCUCCUCCUCUUCGCUCGCUAGGCACCCUCCCUGCUUCCCCCGCCGCACGCCUGUCAUCGCGCCCCUAGUCCGGACGCAACGCUCACCAACUCUAAGCACGAUACCCGCCUAAGAGACGCCGACGUCGCCGCCUCGCCACGCGCCAGCCCUAGGUGCGCAGGGGCAGGAGCGGCCGCGGCGCGGGCGCCAGCGUCGCCGGCGACGGGCGGGCGGCGCGGCGGCGGAGGCGGAGGGAGCGCCAGAGGGCGGCGUCGGAGGAGCACGGGGCGCGGCAGCGGCGCGGGUGGCUGGCGCGGAGGGGCCUUCAACAGCCUUCCAAGUUCGACCUCAGGUUGAGGCUCGAGGUCCACUGAGACUUGGGUCGCGGCGUCCCACGCCAGCGGCUCUAGUUAGAGGUCCGCUGGUUGUGGUCGCCGAGGGACCAAGACGUAACCCCGCGGGAGGCGGGCCUGUCCUCUCUUACCUAGGAGGGCAGGGCUUCUGGCCUACCUUGCUGUCACAUGUUCUUGUUCCGGGAGUCCAGUGGAAAACAUUUCAGUCCACUGUUAAGGUGCGACUCUUAACUCUAUCUACUAGGGCGCCAAGUUCGGUAGCUCAAGGAACACAAGCUGCUCCGUGCCUUAUUUACCAAAUUUUUGUUACCGGUCUUAAAGGAUUAGGUUGAGGUCUGUUCGGCAUUACUCCCCGUUCUACGUGGACCACGAUGACGAAGACGACAACACCACGGUCUCCUAGAACACGUCUAGGUUAGCAUGGAAGCAACCCUUUCCUUACCUUUCGUCAGAAUAUGUCGACUGGUUCUCUUCCACCUCAUACUUCGUCGUGCUCGUCUCAAUUAUCUCCUUAAUUUGUCUCCACAUGGUGACCUCUUCGACGCUCGAUCUAAUUGUUUUUGCGGGCUCAGCUCACCUUCACUACGAGGACGUAGAGUUUGAUGGUAUUGGUCACAGGGUCUCCUUGAACAUGUUCAGGUCCGAAUGGAUUCUACCCUCUUUCGACCGUUCGGUUUAAUAAGGGGUCUCUUCGUUGACCAACUCAAACUCCUUCGUUCCUUCCUUGACGUCCGACUCAACCUAUUACCUCGGAGUCAACUAGUUAAUUCCUUCUUUUAACACUUUCCUUUGGAACUUUAAAGGUUCGUUGACCUCUUCUUCUUCAUGAAGAGUCAUCUUUCCUAAGUCGCGUCUUUGUCUCUAUAGUGCGUUGAAGAAUUAUUUGUAUUCGGACACCAAUGUCUUUUCGUUCAUUUUCGACGUGGGUUUGUUGGUUGACAAAACCUAGAGAAGUGUUUCAGGAACGUCCUCCCCCUAUUGACACUGCAGGAUUCGUCCUUCGAAAAGUUCUAGCCACUACUCCUCUAUGACCGUUAACGGUGUUUACGAGAUCCAUUUUGGUCUCAAGUGAACCGUUGUUUGGCAUACCUCGGUGAAUAAGAAGUGACCCGUGACCGUUUUUUCGGACCUCUUACCCUCCGUGGAGGAAGAUCGUAUCAAGGAAGACCGAGUUGUCAAGAGCUGUUCCGUACACUUUGAAGUAAGCCACUCAGACUUAACCUACCAAACGUUAUGGUCCAACAACUCUAUCUCGAACUACUGCCGUCUAUGUUCCCCUACGGGAAACAAGAGGCCGCACCACUUUGUACCUAUUUCUUGUUGCUGAGACUGAAGAUAAACCUAAAGUUGUGGUUUCAAUGGUUCUUUAGUUUCCUAUGCCCACUGCGGCCAUUUCCGUGGCGUUUCCUAAAGGACCUUUCUUAUCGUCUAGACCUCCUUCUACGGGUCGCUAGAAAAUACGUGUCUAAAUUAUAACGCCGCCUAGAUCAACUGGUUCGGUCUCUACGACCUGAUAACCCAUAGCAACCUGAAAAACAAACCUAAUCUAAGUACAGAUGGUCCGUUGAUUAUACCUUGUUCUUGAUGUUACACUUUGGUGCACUCUAUUCGGUUCGUGUUCUGUCCAAAUGUCUACUGGAACUCUUAUACAUGUUUUCAAUGGGUGUCAUGUCUCUCUAGAAUUCUUACAAUAACAGACGACAACCAGCACCUCCACUUCCACUACAACCAGUCGCAUAGGCACUACUCUAUAAUCAUUAGGUCUCUUUAUUACUGACGUUUCCACCUUAAUACCUUCUUACCGUGGUCUUUGACGUGUUGUUAUGUUCGGGUCUACUACAUCAGUAUACGGUCCGCUAUUAACUAAUAUAGUUCUCGCUAAAACUAUAGUUGCAAAUGACCCUGUGGAACUUGUUUUUACCGUAUUGGUUUCUUGCUGACAACUCGAUACUAGCACGUUAAGUAAGUCUUGGUUUUAAGUCCUCACUGGUCUUUCUCCCCAAUGAGGCACUAAACCCGUUGAUAUACUCUUCGGACUUCCGACACGUGAGACCACGACUAGAACUCAGACGAUAACGCUGUACAUACCCUAUGUUUAGUCUCCCACUUCCAAAGUACCAACCACAAGUUUAGUUGGGCCACUUACCAAAUAGUAGACCAAAAGGACUAAACGAAGUUAAACACGAACUGGUACAACUCCUAUUUAGUCGUCUCGGUGAAGAACUCCCCAAUAACCUCCGAGCACAACUUGAUGCGGGAAACGAGUAACCGAGUAGACUUGCGAACUUCCUAGAAUAGAAAAACCUGUAACGAGAACUAAGAUGAAAGUCCUGUCGUCAACUUUCCAGCAUACUCCUCGACUUACUACGUCGUGGCCUCUUUUAAUACAUGAAGUAGUCAGAACAAGAACUUUUAGAACGGAACAGGUGACUGCUGUUGCUUCUGUAGAAUAUAACGAAUUUCCCUACCUUAGCUCGGUACCUGUACCAAUUCGUUUUCCUACUGGUUACCCGGGAGAUGCGAUUUCGUAAAGAACUGUCUUGGUCUGAACGGGAACGCUCGUUCCCGCUUGUUAUGAUGUUAUACUACGUCGGGAGCCGACUUAUAGAACCGAGUAAUGAGUUGCAACUCCUUACCCGUCAACUGUAGAAGUGUCUUCUUCAUUAAGCACCACCUAGUCGAUGGUGAAAUAGACGAGAAGACUUGGCUAAACUGGGACAAGAGUCUUUACAGCGUGUGGAACCUUCAACCGUCCAAUAAUCGGGUCAACUUCAUUGUCCAAUAUAACAUCACCAACUAUUCAACGAAAGACAAGUUUUGUUUUGAAUACUAUUUGGUUGUUAGGAACACCGUUUCUCACAGUUCCCUCUCCUUCUUUAUGGUCUACCACAACAACCGCACUAUUGUGGACUAUACGGUCUACAAGACAGAGUACACAGUCAAGCUCGUUCCUUAACGUUCCACAACAAACGCUGUACGAAACUGGACUUGUAGGACAGACUUGAAGUUCCUGUACUUCCCUUCCACAAAAGGAAGUUUUGAUGAAGACGUCUACAGUGGAUGUCCCUCCAUAGCCUGUCACUUGAAAGUUAAAGAAGUCUACGUGUUCCACCACUUCGUUAUGGUAGAAAUAGUAAUCAGUUCUUUUUCAAGGAGCCUUUUAUACGUUAUAGUCGCCUUCUCAAGAGACUACUUUACCAACCUCGUUUCAGGGCGUUGUAUCGUAUGGACUUUCCUUUUCAUGGAAGUACCCAACCAUAGGGUUGUAGUCAACGGUAUGGUAAACCCUGGAAACUCUUCUAUAACAGACUACUCUGGUUAUUCCUUCAUCGUGUUUUGUAUGUCUACGACUUCCCGUCUGAACGAGUUCUUCUAAAAUCACGAGAUCCUCUUUAGGCCUUUUGACAAGAAUUAGAUUGACGAGGUUGAGUUGACCAAUUCCUCGACUUCCUCUUCUACGAUUCGAGGCCUUACGGGACCGGACCUCUACUUUCACUGGUGGCAACCCUCGUUCGAACCUACCAUUAAUUUUUCCAAACCCGUAGUUUUACCUUACUUUCUCGUAUAAAAUCGUGUGCGUUCCACUUUGAGCUAGUACUCAUGGAAAGGUACCGACAAGAACAUGUUCUUUAACAGUUGCGUCUGAUACGGAAACAGUAAGUAUGAUGCUUGGGCAGUAGACCUCUAAGAAGACUCUAUAUACGACUUCACCACUUUCCUGAACCUCUCUGUGAACACCCUCGAAUAGGACCGGCACGGUACUCGAAGCACACAUUCUUUCUACUGGAACUGAGAGGGUUCCAUGACCCAAUGGGAUCGUUCGGUUAACCAGAGAAGUAUUUCGCCAGUUAGUAGAAGGCAAGUCUGAGAUUACCACUCCUAGACCUUCCAAUGCGACCUCGUCCCGACAUACUAUCACAGGGAUACCUACACCUUCUACUUCAACAUGAGCUGAUGUGCUGGCUGGGAGAGUAGUGACUGAGACCUAAGGCCUCGAGUUAGGAGAGUUCGUAACGUGCCCGACCGGUGCGGUAACUCCUCGAGAUACCCAGUGGCGUCCUACAACUCCCUCAUCACUUCCUACCCUUCUAGAUGCAUCAGGUCUGUUCUGGUGUCUACAUUAUACAUACAUAUCCGUCGAGUUCGACAUCUCAUCAUCCUAUACACCAGGAACGACCGUACAUAUCAAGAUGAGUAUCUACGUGUUGUGUAGAUGCAACAAUAAAUAAACGUAUAUGCGAGUCUUAUUCGAAACUAGUGUAUGACAUAAAGGAUCUCAUGGUCUUGUACAUACGUGCUAGUCCUUAUACUGGAAUAAUUUUUGUAGCCCCCUCUUGCAAAACUCGUUAGAUAUAAAUGUGCACGACAAUAUUACAUUUAUAGCCAUCAGACGAACGAAAAACCA